Molecule: long non-coding RNA, 8969 nt
Organism: Falco peregrinus (peregrine falcon)
Lineage: Eukaryota; Metazoa; Chordata; Aves; Falconiformes; Falconidae
Exons: 12
Source: RefSeq, a predicted model, not a curated record
CGUGGUGCUGCGCCUGCGGAUGAGGGCGGUGGAGGGGCAAACCGGCGCGCUGGUGCGGAGCUGGAGGCGCUCGGCGACGGCGGGCUGAGAUAGGGAGGGGCAGGGGUGCGAGUACGGGUACGCUCCCGUCCUCCCGGGGGGCUCCCGGUGCUCGAUCUCCCUCAGCCCGUGCGCCGUUAGCCGCGCGCUGCGGCGGGGGGAGCGGUGCCGGCGGGGGCGCUGCCGCAGCCCGAGGGCGCGGGGGGCUCCGGCCCCACGGCCGAAGGGCGCCGGUAGCGCGGCGGUGCGGUGCCGGGUGCGCAGCGCCGGGCGUCGCCCCUCCAGCCGCCGUCCCUUCCGCCCCAGGCCCGCGGGAACGGCCGCCAGCCGCCCAGCCAGCCCCCGCGCCGGCCCGGAGAAAGCCCGCUGCGGAGGGACUGCGGCGCGCUGGGGAAGCGCAUGUGUCGCCUAGAGAGCGUUGCGCAGCCACUGCAAGCAAACAUCUUCCAGCUGCAGGCAGAAAAGGAGCUGAAUCCAAAGCAUGCAGCCCAGCUGGAGCAGCACCUGAGUGCAGUCCACGAGGAGCAUUUGCAAGAAAUGAAGAUUGUACAGCAAGAAGCAAUGAAGUUGCACCGACACCUUUGUAAUAUGAAAAAGGCUGAAGAAAAAGUGAAAGAAGAAGUUCAGAGGCUGAGUAAAGCUCUGGAGAUUACAACUGCAUCCAAGGUGGAUGUAGUGAUUGCAGCUGAGGAACGCAAAACGGAAGAUUAACUGUCGACUGCAGGAGCUAAGACAACAGCUGUCCCAGGAGAUCAGCCUGCAUCAGUCCUUGGAGGAAUCCCAAGCAACUAUGAUGUGUCAUGUACAGGACAUGGAACCAAUGCUAGAAACAGAACAGAAGCAGGUACAGAUGUUACAGCAGGACUGCCAAGAGUUACGCAAAGAUGUCCAGCUUGCCCAAGCGAGGCUGCAAGGGGAGGAGGACAGAACUGCCCAACUGGAGCAACAGUGCACACAACUGAAAGCUGAGCUGGGUAUGACAGUGGGCGCUCGUCAUAUCUUCUUAGCCCUUCUUACUGCUUCCACAGUGAGAGGAAACCAGCACUGAGGUCCCGCAGACCCGUGGCAGGUGUAUCAGCCAACAGGGAACGGAGGGAGGUGAGAACUACUAAAGGCCUUUAGUUUGCAUGUGAUGUUUCUAAAGGCUCUUCUAAACCUAGAGGAAACUGACAGCAGUGGUAAUCACGGUAAUGAAUACACAACAAUAAUAUGAAAAGAUUCCAUCAGCAUAAAUUCUUUUCAUCUAGCAAGUAACCAUUAAUGCAUGAUUACUGAACUGAUUUGCAAGUAGAAUGCCCAUUUGUACUGAGUCUUUUUACAGAUGAUUAAAAAACAUCAGUAUAAGGACAAGCCUCUCGGAUAAGCCUCUAGCUGAUCUCAUUUAGAUUCCUGGUCUACUGAUGUGAAAGUAGCUGCUUAUAAGGGAGCUGAGUGGCAUUUAAUGCGCUCCAGGGUAGGGGGAAGCUCCAUAUUGUCAAAAUUAAAGGUAACGUUCCUAACCUAAAGUCUGUUCAUUAUUCCUAAAUAGCUCGCAGUAACUGCCUAAAUCCUGGCAUAAUUAUUGUUCUUGUUGAUCCUUCCCUCAGGACCUGUAAAAGGAGUAACUAGAAAUCUGAAACAGAAGCGUUGCCAUUUCCCAGAUUUUUGGUUUGUUAUUCUGCAAAUCACACAUGCGAUAAUAAACUCACAUAAAAAAGCUCACAAAAGGCAGUGGGAAUUUCUGCAUAAGGCAUGGCAAGAGGAGAGAAACUUGUCAUCAUGUUGUGGCAGUUGGCUGAAUGGGGGACAAUGAUACCAAAAUAAUUCUUUCCUUCAGAACAAAGUCAUAGGCAAAGGACAAAUUUAAAUGAGAUGUACAAGUUUUCUUUGCUUCUAUAUCAAAUAAUCCUGCUGAUCAAGGCUUUUUCCCUUUGUUAAUUGAAGGAAGUUUUGAGUGAUCCUUGGAUGAUACCGUAGAUGUCAUGAUAUUUUGGCUAGAAUUCCCUCCCUGCCCUGCUCAUGGUGAAUUGUCUCUUGUUGUCUUCCUCUUUUUCCGGUACGUUAUACAGCACAACAGAAUCAGAGGCUAGCUAUUACAGAUAGGUUGACUGAAAUUCCAACAAAAAUGCUUCUGCUUUUAGAUCUGUAUGGUUAGAGCAGGGAUGUAACUUGUUCUUUGUCAAUGCACAAAAACUCGUAAAGUUGCAUAUGGGCUGUGGGUUAUAGUCAAGACAAAUCAGUUGCUUACACACUAGACAGCUGAAUAAGAGACAGGGUUAUUUGAUUUGCUUAAGCAGUCGCAGAAGUGGUAUGUGUAGGAGAUUGGCAUGAUGGCAUGCUUAAUUUAAAAUUAAAUUACAAUUAACCUAGGUUUAGCCAGAGGAUUCUGUUAAAUGCUAUAAAGAUCAUGUGAGAAAAACUGGAGAAUAGUAUAGACAUUCUCAGUCAAAGGUCAUUGAAAACCAAACAGUAUAUUGGGGUUAAUAAAGGAGACUUGAACGCAGUGAGUUAUGACCAUGAAAUUCAAAUUAGAAUGAUGGUUAAUUUCAGUUGACUAAUUGAUGACAAUGAAGAAAUGGCUGAAAAUUAACAGGGAUCAAAACCUUUUUGUUUUUUGUUUGAAAGAGAUAUAGAUGAAAGUUUAGGUUAAGAAACAUUAGAAUCAACAACUGGUUUUGACUGAAAACCCAGCUUCUUGUAUCUGUAGCACUUCCUGAAGCCUGGGUGCUAGGAGUUCAAGAAGCAUUGGAACUACCGGUUGAAACACUCAAAAAACCUCAAGGACACCACCCACGCUCAGCUUGGGCUUAAACCAGGGGCAGGACAAAGGUUAUAUAAUUACAGGAAGCUGUUUCCAUGUUCAGAACCAUUACGCACUCUUGGCACUACUAACUACUAAGCAUGCAGGUUACUUAUAAAAGAAUCCUUUUAAGAGACUCUAAGAGAUGACUGAUUUUCCUGCUCCUUUUCCUAAUGAUUUCUUGUACUGCAGAUGGCAAACCUGCAGCACCAGCUGGAUGCAGCGAAGUAUGAUAACAGUAAGGCGAGAUCCACGCUGGAGCAUGUCUUAGCUUCUUAUAAGAAGAUGCAAGCAGCUCUGGAUGCGGUACAGACUGAGCUGGGACACAAGGACACUGAAAUCAGCAACCUCAGAAAAGACAUGUGAGUGGAACUGAUUGUUUCUGUGGUCUGUCAAGACAGAUACAGUUGCAAGGUGGCAUCUUCCCCAUGGUUCUGGCUAAUGAGCUGUAGGACAGGUUUGUUUGAAAAGUUUCCUAUGUUGUUUCCUGCAACGCUGAAGCAUCCUUAGUGCUAGUGGACCAAGUACACCGAGUUCUUGUAGCUAAGUGCACGCUUGGCAGGCCUGGCGCAUCUUGUGGCAAGUAGGCAAAAGAGUUUAACUUCAGUGACGGGCAGAACUUAAUCUGGUUAAGGUAGAGAACUGAACUCUGAGAUGGUCACCGCUUCAGAAGAGAUGUCCACAAAUUGAUUUAAUGCAUGAUUUUUCUUUUAAUCCAAUCUCCAUUUCCAGGAGCCAGGCUCAACAGAAAAUACAGAUGUUAGAACUGGAACAUUGCCAGGCCAAACCGGUUGCCAUGGGAAGGCAGCAGAGCAGCCAGGUGGAGCCACUUUGUAAGGCACUAGAAAGUGCUAGAACAGAGCACAAGAAGCUUGUUCUUCAUUUGGAAGAAGUUCUGCAGGGAACAGUUAAUGGAAAAAGCCAAGACUGAGAAAAGAAUACGUGGAACACUUAGAGUCUUUGAAGAAGCAGUUUCUGACUGAACAAGAGGCUUACAGGAAAGCUGCCUGUCAAGAAUCUGCUGAGGUAAAGAGAGCCCCUGAAGAAUCCUUCUCCAAACUGGUCAAAGUUUGUGGUGCUAACAGGGACCUGCAGCAUAAAGUAACAGAGCUGGAAAAGUCUUUGUCCAGUUACAAGGAAAAGCUAAAAAGCCAAAGAGCUCAAGCCAGACAGUGAUGCUAACACCGACAGGGUGAAGGAGAUUGAAUCUGAACUGAGAAAAAUGGAAGCCACAGAAGAGGAGUAUCAGACAAAAAAUUAUGAAAAAUCACACGACAUCCAGAAAUGUAUGUCAAUGUUGAAAAGUGUGCAGAGCGAGAUGCAAGUGGUGUUAAAAAAACAACAUGAAGUGCAAGUGCAGAACAGGCAGCUGGGGACCCAGCUGGAAGUGGAGAGAAGGCGAAGGCAGCAGAUGGAAAACAAAUGUCAGGAACUGGAAAAAACAGUCAAACAUCUGAAGAAUUGUACAGAGGAGGCAGAAAAGAAGCUAAAGGAAGCCAGCAUGGAGUCAGUACAGGUGAGACCAGCUAGCAUUAGAAUAAUUCAUUGAAAGUAACAAGAUAGUAUUUCAGCAUGUGCACCAAGUAACCCUUUCCAUAAAAAAAUGAGAAUGUCUUUCAAUAAAAACCCUUUUUCAGAUAUAGGUUUCUGAAGAGUGAGGUGCAUCCCUGGGCUUUUCUACUAAGUGGCAUUUAUCAUACUUUUUUUAAAAUAAGAAAAAGAAAAAUAAAAUUUUUAUCUUUUCUGUGACUCACUUCAGCGUAGUGGGGCUUGUAAGAAGAGCUUUUGUCCCCCACAGCCUAUUGUUUUUAUCGGACUGGGGAUCUCUGUGCUAACCAACUAACCAAAAGCAUUGUGGCCAAGUACACUGCCCCCCCAGCUGCCCUCGUGUCACUCUGUAUGCAACAUCACGCAAAACCUCUUUCCCACCCACCCCACCCAACAAAGUCAUUUGUCCUUACAUCACCUCAUCCUUGCACUACUGUAUCACAAUGUCCAAAUUACUGUAGUUUGCAUGAUUAUAGUAGUUUGGGGUGAAAAUCUAGGGGUUUAGAUGUUAUAUAGGAUAUUAACCAGCAUAAAUUUUUUUAAAAAACAAAGCUAAUAGAGGUGUUCCAGCCUGAGGUCUCACAGGCUGCUUACCAGUCCAAGUACCGUUCUAGGAUUAGGAGGAGACUAACAGCAAGGGAGUAUUUCUACAGCAUUUUUCAGGCAAAAUUAGUCUUCCCUCACCUUCCUCAGGGCUUUGUGGUACUCGGCAUCCAUUUCCCCCUGCCUUCUUCCCAAUACCUCUGUGGUUUAUGCUGUGCUGGAGACCCAUGUUGGCUUUGUUACCCCCUAAGAGGGGCAGCUCUGUGGUGAGUGCCGCCCCCAUACACCCCUCUAACAGCGCUGGGAGAGGGUGUCGUGGGGAGCUCCUACCCGUGUGCCGCAGACACAUCUGAGGUGUAUGCUGCUCUGCCCUCUCUCACACAGGGCUCCACAACUGCAACAGCACAUGCAUUAACCGCUCUCCCUGCAGUUCUAAUCGCACCCGCUGCCUAGUCACCUUCAGCCUGGAGCUUGCUGUUGGUUCAGGUCUGCAGUUUCACAGCCUGCCAGUUAGAAACUCUGAAAAACCAGCAGCCAAAAUGCUGAAGAAAGCAAGGACAUUCAUUUCAGAGCGGGAAGCAAAGAAAAUAGGUGGGAGAAGUAUUUGCUAGCUCAUUAUCAGUCAGGAUUUCAGUUUCUUAAACUUCCUUCUGUAUUUCCUUACACAGGAGUGGAAGACAGACCCCUCUUCUAGUUUAGUUUGUUUCCUCCUCUUUUGCCAAAGGACAAACUUAAGCAACAAAGAGCACUACAGGGGCUGUUCCGUGCUUAGAAAAGGUCUCUUGAGCAUACUUCGUGUUUUGUUGAUGCUUGUUAACCAAAUACUGGUCUCAAAGCUAAUAGCUGGUGCAUUUUCUUCCCUGCAUUCAGCUUUCUCUCAGUGGUUCUCCUUCCCCUCACCCAUACCUCUUACAGAUACCCUUCCAAAAGCCGCGCGUACCUUGUCUGCGCAGGUGCAUCAGCCUUCUCCAUAAUUGAUAGCUCUCCUGUAGCUGGGUAAUUGGCAUCUAGAGAUGUACGUAUUAGACUGCCAAAAUUUUAAUCUCUUCUUCAGUGAUGACAGAGAUUCCCCAGACAGUCAUCAGCUUCAUAGAGCGCUGCAUCUUGUCCCAGGGGAAGCAGCAGGAGCUCCGGGUCGGUCGGUCAGCAGGGCAGGCCCCGCAGCCCAGCUCAGCCCAGGGCCCCACGUGAGCUGGGCAGGAAAUGAGCUCACUCAGCCCAGUGCUCCCAGCCCACCCAGAGCAUCACCUGCCCAGCAGCCUCCGCCCGCACCCAGCUGCUGGGGAAUCUUCACCUGCCCUGACCCGGGGCGGGGGGGGGGGGGGGUGUCGGUCUGUGCAAGUAGCAGGUGCCUGCGGCCUAUGAGUGCCUGCUUCAGUCUUGGACUCUGGUUUGAAUUAACACACACCUUUCACCUUGGCUUUUUGACCCACGUUCUUUGCCUUGUGAGGCUGAUAUUAACAAAACUACUGUUUACAGCAAACCCAUUAUUUUUAUUUAUUAUUAAACUAUGUGCUGUUGAUAUGCUACAUCUUUGCUUUCAUCACUUUUCUUUUACCAGCUUUAGUCCAAGGCCUGGCAGGUGCUACCAAAACAAACCUCCGGCGGGUUUGCAGAGGGGUCGGGUGAGUGACUGAGGACUGAGUCAUGUGGCUGUGGCUGGGUGCUGACGUGACUGGGACGGGGAGGAGGUGGCAGGACUGGCUGCUUCUAAUGGUAGAUGAUGCCUGGGUCUGAGAGCACAUAAGCCUUGGGCUACUUGAGGAGCACAUAAGGAAUUCAUUAGGGGUGUGAUAUCAUACCACACGUCAUCUUACCUUCGUAAGAGUUAGUGGAAUUUGUUCAACAUACCCCACUGGGGAAAGAGUAGUUGAAGCAGAUGACUUACAUCAUAAUAUGCUGAAAAUGAUUACAACACGGGCAGUUUUCAUGCUUUUUCAGCUAAGGAUCAGCUCACCGUCGUCACAGCUUACUCUUUCACGUGGCUUCAGUACAACCUAGCAUCAGUACAGGUGGUGGUGUUGCACUCUGAUCUGCUUCAACACAGCUGCUCGCAAACUCCUCUGUGGUCAGCGGUACUAUUUAUUCCUGUGGGAUCCAUACAUGUUAUUUGCAAUACUUGUUUAAUAGGGCGGGAAGUCUUGCGUACCUCUGGAGCUCCGAGUAGCCCGAGGACGGGCUGCAAUUAGCUCGUUCUGCUCCUCCAGAAAUUUGGUCCUAGACUGUAACUCACGUGGCAGGACUCUGGGCUAAUUCACGGUGGCCUGAGCCGCUCCUCCUCACAGCAAGUGUCCGUUCUAGGGGAGAAGGGCUGGCUGAGCACACUACUAAAGCUAACGCACACCUGAGCUUCAUGCAGUUGUGCUGCUUAAAAGCAGGGCUGUGCACUGUGGCUUUGGGUUUGUCCCAGCCAAGCUGGCUCCUUCAGAAACCCACUGGCGUCCCUGCCACCCCUGCACCGCAAAGCUGUGUGUGCCCUCUCUGCCCACGCAGCGCCCUCAGCAAACCGGUCAGUUUUGCUUGCUGUGAACUCUGGCUGUAAUCACAGCUGGGAAAGCGCCUUCUCACACAGCACUUGCCAUCGCACACUUUUGUUUAUACAGCACGCUUAAGUAGGUCGCCCGGCAAGGGACAAACGGUAGUGACCUUCGUCUGUGCAAAAGGACAGAGCAUACGGCAGCUGCAUGUGUACGAACGGCAUGGUGGCCACCCCUCUGCAGCGAGGCACGGCACACCUCACCGGUGGGGUCCCCAGCCCCACGGCAGCACCCCCGCUCUCGGGCCCUGCAGCUGCUGUUACUUCAUACAUUGAAGUGCAAAGGCUGAUGACAUGGCCGUGGCCAUGGCACCUGGUAUGUGUGCGCAGCGGGCGGCUGGUCCAGCUGCAGCAGAUCGUGUUGCUGCUUCUAACCCUGCUUGGGCUGCAGGGUGGAAAGCCGCAGGACAGGGUGUAACUGUGAGAAGGCGCUGGGCUACAGUAACCCCUAACUGUAGCGCUACCCUGAGUUUUGGCUACGCCUGUGACAGCAAGCGGUACCCCUUGGUGGGGCACAGGCAGACUGCCAAGAGCUGGUCCAGAUGUGCAGGACAUGUUUUGGAUUGGUUUUUACUUCAGCUUUGCUCCAGUGUGAUCCCGCUGACUCCCGAGCAACUGGAGCACUUCAGGAAGCCAUCCUGUCACUAGCUUUCAUCCGAGAGGAAUCUCGUUUGUCUGCUCAGAGCCUGCUCUGCAACGGUUACAAGAUGUGAAGAGGCCAAUAAAGACUAAGGAGAGCUUCAACAGAAGAAUUUUUACCCCUAGGUGAUGCAACAAUACCAUCCUGUGAGGCAGCUCCAGUUCACACAGCAAACACUGGGCCACCUUGACAAAACCAGUGAUGAGGCAUCACAAAGAGCAAGAAGUGAAACAAAGGUGAGGGACUCGUCCUCUCCGUUCUUCUGCAGCUUAUGAAUGCCCCUGGCUGACACAACUAAAAUGGCUGUUUAAUUUGCCAUGCUGCAAACUUGGCACGGGGCUUGGAAACAGCGAGGGCAGCGCUGCAUAAACACAGUGAAACACGCUGUCCCUCUGCGAGCUAGCGAGACUGCCUGGGAACGAGUCUCUCACCUCUGUAUUCCCACUGUGGCCCAGCAUAUCUCUAGUGAAGUGGACAUGCAAUAUAUAGUAAUUUAAUGUUUGAUUUGAGAUAAAAUUGCCUUUAAAAUUAGAUCUGUCUCUUAUUCACCGAUUUAAAUUCUGUGAAAUGAUCACAGAACAGCAAUACCUGUAACAGUGGGCCAAGCAAACGGCAGUUGGCUGCGAUACCGCAAGUAACAGGAGUACUUGGGAGGCAACAGCACGGUUUGGUUUCUGUUCAGCAAGCUACCUGGCUGGGAGGUAUUCUUCAGCCUUAUUUUGCUGUAGAGCAUAAGAUAUAUCAAUUUCAAAUUAAAAAAAAAUCAAUAAAAAUAUAAAAAAUCAUAUGCAUAGAACUAUAUACCUUUUUAAAUUUAUGUUAAAGCGUUGCAUCCUCCUUCUCUUGCUGGGUAGGAAGCAGCAUGCUUCCACCGUCAUGUGCUA